RNAcentral lists this ribosomal RNA (494 nucleotides) under uncultured bacterium. RNAcentral describes it as "bacterial SSU rRNA". It matches the Rfam family "Bacterial small subunit ribosomal RNA", at positions 16 to 507 of the family's 1533-position model. The record is from RNAcentral.
AUCCUGGCUCAGAUUGAACGCUGGCGGCAUGCCUUACACAUGCAAGUCGAACGGCAGCGGACCUUCGGGUGCCGGCGAGUGGCGAACGGGUGAGUAAUAUAUCGGAACGUACCUUUCAGUGGGGGAUAACGUAGCGAAAGUUACGCUAAUACCGCAUAUUCUGUGAGCAGGAAAGCAGGGGAUCGCAAGACCUUGCGCUUAUUGAGCGGCCGAUAUCAGAUUAGCUAGUUGGUGAGGUAAAGGCUCACCAAGGCGACGAUCUGUAGCGGGUCUGAGAGGAUGAUCCGCCACACUGGAACUGAGACACGGUCCAGACUCCUACGGGAGGCAGCAGUGGGGAAUUUUGGACAAUGGGCGCAAGCCUGAUCCAGCCAUGCCGCGUGAGUGAAGAAGGCCUUCGGGUUGUAAAGCUCUUUCGGCCGGGAAGAAAUCGCACGGGUUAAUACCCUGUGUGGAUGACGGUACCGGAAUAAGAAGCACCGGCUAACUACGUG